RNAcentral lists this ribosomal RNA (407 nucleotides) under uncultured bacterium. Its description in RNAcentral is "partial 16S ribosomal RNA". It matches the Rfam family "Bacterial small subunit ribosomal RNA", at positions 30 to 526 of the family's 1533-position model. The record is from RNAcentral.
AUUGAACGCUGGCGGCAGGCCUAACACAUGCAAGUCGAGCGGAGCGGCGGACGGGCGAGUAAUGCCUAGGUAUCUGCCUGGUAGUGGGGGAUAACGUCCGGAAACGGGCGCUAAUACCGCAUACUAUCAGAUGAGCCUAGGUGGGAUUAGCUAGCUGGUGGGGUAAAGGCUGACCAAGGCGACGAUCCGUAACUGGUCUGAGAGGAUGAUCAGUCACACUGGAACUGAGACACGGUCCAGACGCCUACGGGAGGCAGCAGUGGGGAAUAUUGGACAAUGGGCGAAAGCCUGAUGCAGCCAUGCCGCGUGUGUGAAGAAGGUCUUCGGGUUGUAAAGCACUUUAAGUUGGGAGGCGUUACCGACAGAAGAAGCACCGGCUAACUCCGUGCCAGCAGCCGCGGUAAUAC